RNAcentral lists this ribosomal RNA (905 nucleotides) under uncultured bacterium. RNAcentral describes it as "bacterial SSU rRNA". It matches the Rfam family "Bacterial small subunit ribosomal RNA", at positions 8 to 916 of the family's 1533-position model. The record is from RNAcentral.
AGAGUUUGAUCCUGGCUCAGGACGAACGCUGGCGGCGUGCUUAACACAUGCAAGUCGAACGGAGAUUAGUUGAGAGUUUACUUUCGACUAAUUUUAGUGGCGGACGGGUGAGUAACGCGUGGAUAACCUACCCCAUAGUCUGGGAUAACGCCGGGAAACCGGUGCUAAUACCGGAUACGUUCGUCGAAUCGCAUGAUACGAUGAAGAAAGGUGCAAACCACUAUCGGAUGGAUCCGCGUCCCAUUAGCUAGUUGGUAGGGUAACGGCCUACCAAGGCCUCGAUGGGUAGCCGGCCUGAGAGGGCGACCGGCCACACUGGAACUGAGACACGGUCCAGACUCCUACGGGAGGCAGCAGUGGGGAAUCUUCCGCAAUGGGCGCAAGCCUGACGGAGCAACGCCGCGUGAGUGAAGAAGGUUUUCGGAUUGUAAAACUCUGUCCAAAGGGAAGAAGCAAGUGACGGUACCUUUGGAGGAAGCCCCGGCUAACUACGUGCCAGCAGCCGCGGUAAAACGUAGGGGGCAAGCGUUGUCCGGAAUUACUGGGCGUAAAGGGCGUGUAGGCGGCUAAUCAAGUCAGUCGUGAAACCCACCGGCUUAACUGGUGGCCUGCGAUUGAAACUGAUCGGCUUGAGUGCAGUAGAGGGGAGUGGAAUUCCCAGUGUAGCGGUGAAAUGCGUAGAUAUUGGGAGGAACACCAGUGGCGAAAGCGGCUCCCUGGCCUGUAACUGACGCUGAGGCGCGAAAGCGUGGGUAGCAAACAGGAUUAGAUACCCUGGUAGUCCACGCCGUAAACGAUGGGUGCUAGGUGUUGGGGGUAUCGACCCCCCCAGUGCUGCAGUUAACGCACUAAGCACCCCGCCUGGGGAGUACGGCCGCAAGGCUGAAACUCAAAUGAAUUGACGG